CUGGUAUUGAUUGGUGCUUGCAUCAUGAUUUACAUUUGAGUGAGUGGCGAACUGGUGAGUAACACGUGGGAAACCUGCCCAGAAGCGGGGGAUAACACCUGGAAACAGAUGCUAAUACCGCAUAACAACUUGGACCGCAUGGUCCGAGUUUGAAAGAUGGCUUCGGCUAUCACUUUUGGAUGGUCCCGCGGCGUAUUAGCUAGAUGGUGGGGUAACGGCUCACCAUGGCAAUGAUACGUAGCCGACCUGAGAGGGUAAUCGGCCACAUUGGGACUGAGACACGGCCCAAACUCCUACGGGAGGCAGCAGUAGGGAAUCUUCCACAAUGGACGAAAGUCUGAUGGAGCAACGCCGCGUGAGUGAAGAAGGGUUUCGGCUCGUAAAACUCUGUUGUUAAAGAAGAACAUAUCUGAGAGUAACUGUUCAGGUAUUGACGGUAUUUAACCAGAAAGCCACGGCUAACUACGUGCCAGCAGCCGCGGUAAUACGUAGGUGGCAAGCGUUGUCCGGAUUUAUUGGGCGUAAAGCGAGCGCAGGCGGUUUUUUAAGUCUGAUGUGAAAGCCUUCGGCUCAACCGAAGAAGUGCAUCGGAAACUGGGAAACUUGAGUGCAGAAGAGGACAGUGGAACUCCAUGUGUAGCGGUGAAAUGCGUAGAUAUAUGGAAGAACACCAGUGGCGAAGGCGGCUGUCUGGUCUGUAACUGACGCU
This 709-nucleotide ribosomal RNA is filed under the name Lactiplantibacillus plantarum. Its description in RNAcentral is "bacterial SSU rRNA". It matches the Rfam family "Bacterial small subunit ribosomal RNA", at positions 67 to 747 of the family's 1533-position model. Lineage: Bacteria; Bacillati; Bacillota; Bacilli; Lactobacillales; Lactobacillaceae. The record is from RNAcentral.